Molecule: microRNA precursor, 67 nt
Filed under: Sarcophilus harrisii (Tasmanian devil)
Lineage: Eukaryota; Metazoa; Chordata; Mammalia; Dasyuromorphia; Dasyuridae
Description: Sha-Novel-14-P4_pre stem-loop
Source: RNAcentral
GGUGCCUAGUGUUUGAGAAGGAAAAGGAAUCAUCUUAGUAGUCCACUUUCCCAAAACUAGGCACCGA